UACGGAGGGUGCGAGCGUUGUCCGGAAUCACUGGGCGUAAAGGGCGCGUAGGCGGUCUGCUAAGCGUGUGGUGAAAGCUCGGGGCUCAACCCCGAGUCUGCCAUGCGAACUGGUGGACUUGAGCACUGUAGAGGCAGGUGGAAUUCCGGGUGUAGCGGUGGAAUGCGUAGAGAUCCGGAAGAACACCAGUGGCGAAGGCGGCCUGCUGGGCAGUUGCUGACGCUGAGGCGCGAAAGCUAGGGGAGCAAACGGG
RNAcentral lists this ribosomal RNA (253 nucleotides) under uncultured bacterium. RNAcentral's name for it is "partial 16S ribosomal RNA". It matches the Rfam family "Bacterial small subunit ribosomal RNA", at positions 524 to 776 of the family's 1533-position model. The record is from RNAcentral.